Molecule: non-coding RNA, 129 nt
Filed under: Mesodinium rubrum
Lineage: Eukaryota; Ciliophora; Litostomatea; Cyclotrichida; Mesodiniidae
Source: RNAcentral
AAAAAAGAAACAAAAUACAUAUGCAAAAAAAGAAAGAAAGAAAGAAGGAAAGACCACUUGGGACUCGUCCUUUUUAUCCUUCGCUCUCUGUCUCAACAGCACUCGAUCUUUCUCUCCUCUCUCUCUCUC